AGUGAACGCUGGCGGUAGGCCUAACACAUGCAAGUCGAACGGCAGCACAGUAAGAGCUUGCUCUUACGGGUGGCGAGUGGCGGACGGGUGAGGAAUACAUCGGAAUCUACUUUUUCGUGGGGGAUAACGUAGGGAAACUUACGCUAAUACCGCAUACGACCUACGGGUGAAAGCAGGGGAUCUUCGGACCUUGCGCGAUUGAAUGAGCCGAUGUCGGAUUAGCUAGUUGGCGGGGUAAAGGCCCACCAAGGCGACGAUCCGUAGCUGGUCUGAGAGGAUGAUCAGCCAAACUGGAACUGAGACACGGUCCAGACUACUACGGGAGGCAGCAGUGGGGAAUAUUGGACAAUGGGCGCAAGCCUGAUCCAGACAUACCGCGUGGGUGAAGAAGGCCUUCGGGUUGUAAAGCCCUUUUGUUGGGAAAGAAAAGCAGCAGGUUAAUACCCCGCUGUUCUGACGGUACCCAAAGAAUAAGCACCGGCUAACUUCGUG
This 492-nucleotide ribosomal RNA is filed under the name uncultured bacterium. RNAcentral's name for it is "partial 16S ribosomal RNA". It matches the Rfam family "Bacterial small subunit ribosomal RNA", at positions 29 to 507 of the family's 1533-position model. The record is from RNAcentral.